UGCGAAGGAUCAAUGUGAUUUGUGGAUGGA
Molecule: non-coding RNA, 30 nt
Filed under: Homo sapiens (human)
Lineage: Eukaryota; Metazoa; Chordata; Mammalia; Primates; Hominidae
Source: RNAcentral